This 484-nucleotide ribosomal RNA is filed under the name uncultured bacterium. Its description in RNAcentral is "partial 16S ribosomal RNA". It matches the Rfam family "Bacterial small subunit ribosomal RNA", at positions 30 to 507 of the family's 1533-position model. The record is from RNAcentral.
AUUGAACGCUGGCGGCAGGCCUAACACAUGCAAGUCGAGCGGAUGAAGGGAGCUUGCUCCUGGAUUCAGCGGCGGACGGGUGAGUAAUGCCUAGGAAUCUGCCUGGUAGUGGGGGAUAACGUCCGGAAACGGGCGCUAAUACCGCAUACGUCCUGCGGGAGAAAGUGGGGGAUCUUCGGACCUCACGCUAUCAGAUGAGCCUAGGUCGGAUUAGCUAGUUGGUGGGGUAAAGGCCUACCAAGGCGACGAUCCGUAACUGGUCUGAGAGGAUGAUCAGUCACAUUGGAACUGAGACACGGUCCAGACUCCUACGGGACGCAGCAGUGGGGAAUAUUGGACAAUGGGCGAAAGCCUGAUCCAGCCAUGCCGCGUGUGUGAAGAAGGUCUUCGGAUUGUAAAGCACGUUAAGUUGGGAGGAAGGGCAGUAAGUUAAUACCUUGCUGUUUUGACGUUACCAACAGAAUAAGCACCGGCUAACUUCGUG